UGGGGAAUUUUGGACAAUGGGCGCAAGCCUGAUCCAGCCAUGCCGCGUGCGGGAAGAAGGCCUUCGGGUUGUAAACCGCUUUUGUCAGGGAAGAAAAGGUUCUGGUUAAUACCUGGGACUCAUGACGGUACCUGAAGAAUAAGCACCGGCUAACUACGUGCCAGCAGCCGCGGUAAUACGUAGGGUGCAAGCGUUAAUCGGAAUUACUGGGCGUAAAGCGUGCGCAGGCGGUUAUGCAAGACAGAGGUGAAAUCCCCGGGCUCAACCUGGGAACUGCCUUUGUGACUGCAUAGCUAGAGUACGGUAGAGGGGGAUGGAAUUCCGCGUGUAGCAGUGAAAUGCGUAGAUAUGCGGAGGAACACCGAUGGCGAAGGCAAUCCCCUGGACCUGUACUGACGCUCAUGCACGAAAGCGUGGGGAGCAAACAGGAUUAGAUACCCAAGUAGUCCCUGAGCGGGCUGGCAAGGCGCAU
This 472-nucleotide ribosomal RNA is filed under the name uncultured bacterium. RNAcentral's name for it is "bacterial SSU rRNA". It matches the Rfam family "Bacterial small subunit ribosomal RNA", at positions 355 to 825 of the family's 1533-position model. The record is from RNAcentral.